UAGGGAAUCUUCGGCAAUGGGGGCAACCCUGACCGAGCAACGCCGCGUGAGUGAAGAAGGUUUUCGGAUCGUAAAGCUCUGUUGUAAGAGAAGAACGUGUGUGAGAGUGGAAAGUUCACACAGUGACGGUAACUUACCAGAAAGGGACGGCUAACUACGUGCCAGCAGCCGCGGUAAUACGUAGGUCCCGAGCGUUGUCCGGAUUUAUUGGGCGUAAAGCGAGCGCAGGCGGUUUAAUAAGUCUGAAGUUAAAGGCAGUGGGUUAACCAUUGUUCGCUUUGGAAACUGUUAAGCUUGAGUGCAGAAGGGGAGAGUGGAAUUCCAAGUGUAGCGGUGAAAUGCGUAGAUAUAUGGAGGAGCAGCGGUGGCGAAAGCGGCUGUCUGGUCUGUAACUGACGCUGAGGCUCGAAAGCGUGGGGAGCAAACAGG
RNAcentral lists this ribosomal RNA (429 nucleotides) under bacterium. RNAcentral's name for it is "partial 16S ribosomal RNA". It matches the Rfam family "Bacterial small subunit ribosomal RNA", at positions 355 to 776 of the family's 1533-position model. The record is from RNAcentral.